AUACGGAGGACGCGAGCGUUAUCCGGAUUCAUUGGGUUUAAAGGGUGCGCAGGCGGCCGUGCAAGUCAGCGGUGAAAGCCCGGGGCUCAACCCCGGAAGUGCCGUUGAUACUGCAUGGCUGGAAUGCGGUCGAGGCGGGCGGAACGUGGCGGGGAGCGGGGGAAUGCGUGGAUAUGCCACAGAACGCCGAUAGCGGGGGCAGCUCGCCAGGCCUGCAUUGACGCUCGGGCACGAAAGCGUGGGGAUCGAACAGGAUUAGAUACCCUGGUAGUCCACGCCGUAAACGAUGGGCGCUCGUCGUCGGCGGCAGACAGUCGGCGGCCAAGCGAAAGCGAUAAGCGCCCCACCUGGGGAGUACGGCCGCAAGGUUGAAACUCAAAUGAAUUGACGGGG
This 393-nucleotide ribosomal RNA is filed under the name uncultured bacterium. RNAcentral describes it as "partial 16S ribosomal RNA". It matches the Rfam family "Bacterial small subunit ribosomal RNA", at positions 523 to 918 of the family's 1533-position model. The record is from RNAcentral.